UACGGAGGGUGCAAACGUUGUUCGGAAUCACUGGGCGUAAAGCGCACGUAGGCGGAUGUGUCAGUCAGGGGUGAAAUCCCGGGGCUCAACCUCGGAACUGCCUUUGAUACAGCACGUCUCGAGUCCGGAAGAGGUGGGUGGAAUUCCUAGUGUAGAGGUGAAAUUCGUAGAUAUUAGGAAGAACACCGGUGGCGAAGGCGGCCCACUGGUCCGGUACUGACGCUGAGGUGCGAAAGCGUGGGGAGCAAACAGG
This 253-nucleotide ribosomal RNA is filed under the name uncultured bacterium. RNAcentral describes it as "partial 16S ribosomal RNA". It matches the Rfam family "Bacterial small subunit ribosomal RNA", at positions 524 to 776 of the family's 1533-position model. The record is from RNAcentral.